UGGGGAAUAUUGCACAAUGGGGGAAACCCUGAUGCAGCGACGCCGCGUGAACGAAGAAGGUAUUCGUAUCGUAAAGUUCUGUCCUAUGGGAAGAUAAUGACAGUACCAUAGAAGAAAGCUCCGGCUAAAUACGUGCCAGCAGCCGCGGUAAUACGUAUGGAGCGAGCGUUGUCCGGAAUUAUUGGGCGUAAAGGGUACGCAGGCGGUUUAAUAAGUCGAAUGUUAAAGAUCGGGGCUCAACCCCGCAAAGCAUUGGAAACUGAUAAACUUGAGUAGUGGAGAGGAAAGUGGAAUUCCUAGUGUAGUGGUGAAAUACGUAGAUAUUAGGAGGAAUACCAGUAGCGAAGGCGACUUUCUGGACACAAACUGACGCUGAGGUACGAAAGCGUGGAGAGCAAACAGG
This 403-nucleotide ribosomal RNA is filed under the name bacterium. RNAcentral's name for it is "partial 16S ribosomal RNA". It matches the Rfam family "Bacterial small subunit ribosomal RNA", at positions 355 to 776 of the family's 1533-position model. The record is from RNAcentral.